Molecule: transfer RNA, 85 nt
Filed under: Dichomitus squalens
Lineage: Eukaryota; Fungi; Basidiomycota; Agaricomycetes; Polyporales; Polyporaceae
Also listed under: 1 other name
Description: tRNA-Ala
Rfam family: tRNA
About the family: Transfer RNA (tRNA) molecules are approximately 80 nucleotides in length.
Source: RNAcentral
GGGCACGUGGUGUAGUUGGUUAUCACGCUCGCUUAGCAAUCUGUUCAUGUGCGAGAGGGGUCCGGUUCGAUCCCGGACGUGUCCA